GGGGGAAUAUUGGGCAAUGGGCGAAAGCCUGACCCAGCAACGCCGCGUGAGGGAAGAAGGGUUUCGGCUCGUAAACCUCUGUCCUAUGGGACGAAGGAAGUGACGGUACCAUAGGAGGAAGCCCCGGCUAACUACGUGCCAGCAGCCGCGGUAAUACGUAGGGGGCGAGCGUUGUCCGGAAUGAUUGGGCGUAAAGGGCGCGUAGGCGGCCUGGUAAGUCUGGAGUGAAAGUCCUGCUUUUAAGGUGGGAAUUGCUUUGGAUACUGCUGGGCUUGAGUGCAGGAGAGGAAAGCGGAAUUACCGGUGUAGCGGUGAAAUGCGUAGAGAUCGGUAGGAACACCAGUGGCGAAGGCGGCUUUCUGGACUGAAACUGACGCUGAGGCGCGAAAGCGUGGGGAGCAAACAGGAUUAGAUACCCUGGUAGU
Molecule: ribosomal RNA, 425 nt
Filed under: uncultured bacterium
Lineage: Bacteria
Description: bacterial SSU rRNA
Rfam family: Bacterial small subunit ribosomal RNA
Source: RNAcentral